GUUGCUUGGAUCAGUCUAGGUGCAGCUGCCAGAUCCUUCAGCGUCCGCAUCUCGGCGUCGCCCAGCGUAGCGUCGCCCGGCUCUCCGCCGCUCUCCCGGGGGUUCGGGGCACUUGGUUCCCACAGUCUGGUCCUGCUUCACCUUCCCCUGACCUGAGUAGUCGCCAUGGCACAGGUUCUCAGAGGCACUGUGACUGACUUCCCUGGAUUUGAUGAGCGGGCUGAUGCAGAAACUCUUCGGAAGGCCAUGAAAGGCCUGGGCACAGAUGAGGAGAGCAUCCUGACUCUGUUGACAUCCCGAAGUAACGCUCAGCGCCAGGAAAUCUCUGCAGCUUUUAAGACUCUGUUUGGCAGGGAUCUUCUGGAUGACCUGAAAUCAGAACUAACUGGAAAAUUUGAAAAAUUAAUUGUGGCUCUGAUGAAACCCUCUCGGCUUUAUGAUGCUUAUGAACUGAAACAUGCCUUGAAGGGAGCUGGAACAAAUGAAAAAGUACUGACAGAAAUUAUUGCUUCAAGGACACCUGAAGAACUAAGAGCCAUCAAACAAGUUUAUGAAGAAGGUAAAUGUUUGUGAGUUAUAUUUUGACUUCCCCUCCACUGUCACUUCCUUCAUUUCUCUGAUUUGAAUGCAGUCCUUUGUAGGUAUGGGAAGCAGGCAGUAAAUGAUGGUUGAAUGAAUGAAUGAAUGACCUGCAAUUCAAGCUAUUUUUCUCCUUCAGUAAGGAAAAGACUGCCUUGUUAUCCUCUACUAUUUUAAUAUUUUAUAAGAAGCUACUGCUGAAGAUGGAGUUUACUUUUGCAUAGGAUUUGCAAUUAGUGUAGAGAUAUACAGGUUGUCUUUAUGUUAACAUUAAGGUAAAAAUGG
RNAcentral lists this small RNA (864 nucleotides) under Pongo abelii (Sumatran orangutan). RNAcentral describes it as "retained intron". The record is from RNAcentral. Lineage: Eukaryota; Metazoa; Chordata; Mammalia; Primates; Hominidae.